Cyprinus carpio (common carp) is the source of this 291-nucleotide long non-coding RNA. RefSeq lists it as uncharacterized. NCBI's taxonomy places the organism in Eukaryota, Metazoa, Chordata, Actinopteri, Cypriniformes, Cyprinidae. The record is from RefSeq and is a predicted model, not a curated record. The transcript is spliced from 3 exons.
GUGAAGAAAAAAAAAAAGCCAAAAAGAAAAAACACUCCAGCAGUAAGAACAAAUCUGAGAAGAGCCUGAGGACACAACUGACAUUCUACCUCCACUGGUGCCUGAUGUUUUUCCUGCUGCUUGACCUGCCUGGUGCUGCUUCUCUAACAGUGACGGGACAAAAGGGCGGCAAUAUUACUCUGCGGUGUAAUUCAAGCAACAGAGAGGAAUUAUACAUGGUUCUGACUUUUGGGUCCAAAACUGCUUAUGGUACUGGUCAGAGUAAAUAUUAUGAGCACCGUGUGCACAAGA